GGAGGUCAAGCUGGAGCCGGAGGCAAGGUUGGAGGUAAAGGCAAGGUUGGAGGCAAAGGCAAGGUUGGAGGCAAAGGCAAGGUUGGAGGCAAGGUCGGAGCUCAAGGCGAAGUUAAAGUCGGAGGUCAAGCCGGAGUCGAAUUAGGAGCUAAAGCCGGAGCCAAGGUUGGAGGUAAUGGCAAAGCCGGGUGUGGACCUACGACCGGAGCCAAGGUAGGAGGUAAUGCAGGAGCCAAGGUCGGAGGAAACGUCGGAGCUAACAUCGGAGGAGAAGCCGGAGGAUUCUUCGGGGG
This 293-nucleotide long non-coding RNA is filed under the name Brassica napus (rape). RNAcentral's name for it is "long non-coding RNA (BNAP_LNC005510)". Lineage: Eukaryota; Viridiplantae; Streptophyta; Magnoliopsida; Brassicales; Brassicaceae. The record is from RNAcentral.